This 3340-nucleotide long non-coding RNA is filed under the name Homo sapiens (human). RNAcentral's name for it is "HSALNT0162082". Lineage: Eukaryota; Metazoa; Chordata; Mammalia; Primates; Hominidae. The record is from RNAcentral.
CCCCUAGAGCAACCCUGGACAUGAGGAGUGGGGGGAAUGAGGCAGAACUGUCCCAGGUGCCCACAGGGCAGCAGCGUCCCCGGGACACCCUCAGACAUAGGGAGUGACAGGGACGAGGGAGGAUGCAAACAGCUGAGACUGUGGAGAGCCGGCUCGUUUCCAGGCGGUGUUGCUGCCUUCGCCUUGCCAAUGAGGACAGUCGGACACAGGGAAGAAGGGGCUCCACCAGCAGCACCCAGCGAGCACCCGGCAUGCCUGGGAUUCGAGUGCAGGCCUGUCUGAUUCUGUAGGGAGGAGAAAAUCUUCUUUCCUCUACCCCUCUAGGUUCUCUGGCUGGGGCUCUGAAAGAGACUGACAAAGGCAGAUUAACGAGAGAAAAACAGACACGAGUUUAUUACCACGUGCAUCACGCACACCCAUGGGAACGUCCGCAGCCUGACUCCAUUUGUCCCACUUUCCAAUAUUCCAUGUGGAUAGCCUAGAACCAUCUAAGAGAUAAGGCACCCAGAUCGCAAACCACAGGACUCGGAAUUCUCUGCUUGUCUCCUAAUUAGAAGCCAUUGAAGAGUCAGUGGACUGAAUACAAAUUAACCAUUAGAUCAACUGAAAAUGUCAAGUUUAGAUGAAUCUGAGUUCUCAUUUAGAUAUUUUCUGGCUGUUGGCCCAGCCCCACAAAUAAAUACACAUUUGAAAGUUAUCCUGUUACUUUGAUAAAAGAAUUUGGUCUCUUACAAAUGAUAAUUCAGCUCUCAAUGUGGCUUAGGUGAACAUAGUUUUGGAUUUCUUCAAGUAAGAUAUAUGAGCACAGUGUGUAUUAUCUUUACAACAGAUAUCCAUAAUAAUUAUAGUAACAAAGCCAUCUUUCUAUAUUUCUUUAAAGUUUGUUUUUUCCUUUUAAGCUCCAUCCCAGGAAUUUGGGCUGUAAUUCAGGGACUUGUAGAACCUCACAGUGAGAGAGGAGUGAAGUCCUGUCUGCUUGGAUUUAUUGCUGUCUUGAUUAAUGAGAAUUGCUAGCUUUUCCUUACUUUUGGAAGGAGGCUGGGAAAUGCAAACUUCCCACCUGCCCUUGAAGGAGAAAGGAAUCUGGACUGGAUACAAAGAAGCUGGUGAGGAGCAUUUAUCCUGCAGUCCCUGCUAGGUGCAGGGUGCUGGAGCCUGGAGACCGGAGACAGGGGCAGCACCCCGAUGGUCGUAUACCUGCCAGCCCUGCUGGAGGGGGCGAUUAGGGCAGAAGUCUUUCCACUGAGAAGCGGACUGUGCACUGUUGUGGACUGAGCUGAUAGGUACCGAGCUUUUGGACACUGUGCUGCUGGAGCAGGGUGGGGGAUACAGGGGGAGUGAAAGGAACCAGCCCCCUCAGCAGGCCUGGAAAGACGAGGUGGGUGCCCAGACCCAGUAGGUUGUUGCUCUGCUGGCCCAUACUGUAGCAGUGACUUGGCUUGGUAGACCUGGGAGGCCAUUGUGUUUUUAUACUUACCACAAUUCAUGCAUGGUCUGCCCAAUGUGUGGGGUUAGUUCUGCCCGUUGAUUCUCUUCCUCUUGUUUCAUGGUACCCUUACUGUAAGGGGAGUGACCAGAACUGGCCACACAGUGGGCAUCUUCUAGGCACUGUCCUGGCCAGGAGGACAAGGCCGCCUUUUGCACUGGUUCCCCUGUCAGGUCAGGCCUUGGCCCACCACCUGUGCCUUCCAUGUCCUCCUUCCUGUACACUCACGCACCCCUCCCCUGGUAACCAUGUUGCCUUUACACCCAUGAGCCCUGCUGUGGUGCCCUUGCCAGGCACAGUGAGAAACACAAGGGUGACCUGUAGACGAACUGGGCUGAUAUGGGUGGAUCAAGGCCCAGAGCUGUUGUAUAGACGCGUCAGAAAUACAUGCGUAUGAGAAGGGAGAGUAAUGAGAAGAACCUCAUUCACUGGCGAGUGGGGAGGAAGGUGCUGGCAAGAGCCUGGUAUGGAGCUCAGACUAGAGGUGGACCAGCCUUGUCUUUAGAGCUGUAUGAAAGCUCGAAAGCUGCCCCCACCCCAACUCAUUCACCCAGUCACAAAGAUAGGUGACCUGUCAUCAGAUGGCUUCUGUUUCCCGCUAACAGUCUAGUAACACAGAUGAGCCCAUUCUCCUUAGCACCAUUCUCUCCACCACCAACACUUACUGGUCACCUCUGGAUACUGGAAGGAAGAGGUGAACUGGAAAGACAAGACCACUCUCUGCCCUCAAGAUGGGGCUGUGUCUAGCUAAGUGAGAUGUGUGUGUGUGUGUGUGUGUGUGUGUGUGUGUGUAUACACAUAUAUGUAUAAAGACAACCAUAUUUAUUUGUCUAUAUGGGACUACAUCUCUGCAUAAACACUACCAUAUGCAGGCUCUGAGGUCAAAGUUCAUCCUUACCUCAGCUAGACAGGAGGAUCCAGCAUUUUCUAAUUAAUAAAAUACCUCACAGCUUUCCUUAUCCUGCUGUAGUUGGACAUGGAAUUCUUUUGGUUAUUCUGCUUAGGAAAAGUAGCCUCUGCAUUAAAUGCCAAGCUCUGUAGGGGAGCAAAGCCUAUGCUUUGCUUAACACAUAGAAUGGAAUUGCAUUAAUGUGAGAAAGCAUUUCGAAAAUGAUGGAGUCUGUAGAGAUGCUAGGAAUUGUUUUCAUGAUCAUUACCUGAAGCUUCAUCCUAAAAUGUGCUGACUCUUAAUUUAAGUAUAUGCAACCCAAAGUUAUCUAGGCCUGUCAGCCUCAGCCUUAAGCUCUAGUCUUAGCACUGUGAUGCAUGAAGAGAAAUGUAAUUUCUACUCCAAAAGUGUUUUAAGAUAACAUAAGAUUGGCCGAGCGCAGUGGCUCACGCCUGUAAUCCCAGCACUUUGGGAGGCAGAGGCAGGAGGAUAACGAGGUCAGGAGAUCGAGACCAUCCUGGCUAACAUGAUGAAACUCUGUCUCUACUAAAAAUACAAAAAAAAAAAAAAAAAAAUUAGCCGGGCAUGGUGGCAGGAACCUGUAGUCCCAGCUACUCAGGAGGCUGAGGCAGGAGAAUGGCGUGAACUUGGGAGGCGGAACUUGCAGUGAGCCGAGAUCGCACCACUGCAUUCCAGCCUGGGUGACAGAGUGAGACUCUGUCUCAAAAAAAAAAAGAAAAAAAAAAGAUAACAUAAGACUUUAAUUAAGUCUUUGGAGGGCUGGCAUAUCAGGGGUGCGACACACAGCAGAAGAUUUCCAAAAAUCCUCACACAUGUGCGCCACUGUCCUUGUCAGCAUGGCCUUCUCCUCACCCUUUCAUGGGCCACAGUCCCUCUUCUGGCCUCCCCUAAAAGCUCUGGCAGGCCCUCUUUCAUGACCACUUCCCAUCUACCUCUUCUUAUAG